UGAGUAAUUAAAGAAUUGACCAUUUUACCCCUAAAUCUCUAAUUUUGUGUGUCUGCAUAAUCUGUUGAAAUUAAUAUAUUGUGUUUAGUACUUAAUUAGGUUAAUUAAUCAUUACAGGGUCAUUAUUGCAAAUUGGAUUUAGUUAUUUAAUUGUUUACAUUAAUGCCAUAUUUGCAAACUAAGUCUGUCUACGCAAUUAGUUGUGUUUUAAAAUCAAUUAAAACGCUAAUUAUGUUUUAGUUAUAAUAAUGUGACCAAUAGUCGAUAUUUUAGUUCUAUCCAUUUACUUGAUUUACCCAUUUUACCCUUUAUGUACGUAUAUAAAUCUGAUAUACAUAAAUAUACAUGUGCGGUAUACGUACAAAAAAGGCUCCAUUUCAUUUCUUUUUAAACUGGACCGAGCCCAGUCCCAACUGGACCGACCCGGCCCAAAAACGUACGCGUCAUUAAGGGAGGGUAAUACCCUUCUUUACUCUCAUUUUGUCUUCCACACCAAACACGCCUCUCUCUCUCCUUUCCCUUCUCAUGAAAAACCCUAGGCGCCGCCUCAACUUUCUUUCUCUCUCCUAGCCAAAAAUGGCAAGAACGCAGAGGUGCUAGGCACCACACAAUCCUCGUACAACCAUCAGCAUGGAGCAUUUAAUGCUUCACUUCCGUUUUCGUCUUCUCCCCCCAAACACGGAAGCACUAAAGGCUCCAAAUUCAUUCUUGUACACGGUUGUGCAUCAAAAAGGUAAAUUUUUAUCUUUUAUUUUCUUUUUUUGCUUCUAUUUUAAUUUGUGCUUAGUUAUAGUUCUUUAUUUGGUUAUUGAUGUGGGAAUGUUUGUUGCUAAGAUGUCUGUGGUAGUUAAGAUUAAUUCAGUAGUAGUAGUUUCGUAUUACUCAACUGUUUUAUUAUGGGCUGAGGGCUGUAUAAUCUCUUAAACGCUUAGAAUGGUGGUACAUGGUUUCGAACUUAAUAAUUUAAGCCUGAUUAGUGGAUAAUGCAUGAAUCUAGUCCUAUUUGAAUAAUUUGUUGUUUAUCAGAGUAGCACUAGGCAUCAAUUAAGAGUAUAACUAUGACUAGAAAUGAGUUAAGUGGGGUUUGAGUUAAGUGAGAGACUGUUAGAGUGAAGAAUAUGGACUAAUAAUAGAUCAUUAGUUGUUAAUAAUGGCUUAAGUGGAUACACUGCUUUAUAAAAUUGAUCUUCCUCAACAUUGAAGUGAAACUAGGUAAAGAAAGAGAUAAGGCUAUUUAGACUCCUAUAAUAUUGAUAUAUGUGUUGUUUAUAAUAUGGAUGAUUCUGCUCAAGGUCCAAGCUAUAAAUGGUUGAAGUUGUUUAGUUACUAGUCAAGGAGAGUUUGAGCCUGAAAAACCUGUAGUAUGACCUGUUUGACAACAUGAAUAUCUACUUUGUUUUCUGCUGGUUUGUGCAUCAGCCUAUCAUCCCUUAGGAUCCACAUAAGUCCAUACAUUCUGCUUUUUCCUAGGAAUUUGGUUAUGUCAAGGACCCUUUGAAGUUCUGGUUAAAUUGCAAGUUUUGUUUGAGUAUUCAGCUUUCCUGUUUGUUUGCUUGUAUGAUUUCCCUUUCUUCUCUCUUUGUUUAAGUGGCAUUAGCUUCCAUUAAACAUAUGAUUAUCCAAAGUUCCAAGUCUGUAAAAAAUGUAGAUUAGGCCAUUGAAUUUGGAUGCAUGCCUUAAGUCAUUUUUUCUUGAAAUGGACCAGUCCGGCAUAAAAAAAAAUAAGAACCUGCCUGUUGUGUCAAUGUUUAAAUUAUUGGCAUCUCUAAUCUGAGUUUUGGUAACUUGUUAGUAUAGCUCAGUAGCACUACUUGACUGUUCUGUUUGCUUGUAUCUCUAAGAACCACUGUAUUUGUAUGCUGGUCCAUCAUGAUUUAAUCACUUAGCUUGUAUGCAUCACUUAUGAACUGGUUGGAAGGGCUUUUCAGCAUAACUUGACCUGUUGAGUGUCUGUGUAAGUAUGUAAUGAUCUAUGGAACUUUAAAAAUGAUCUAUAGAACUAUGCAAUAAUGCUUUAACUCAUUCUGUGUCUCUGUGUGAACGCUGCUAAGCCUUAAUAGUGAAAAAUGAUUCUCCACCUGUAUUUAAAUGAUCUUGUUUGCUAUGAAUAUUUGUGUUUGCAUUUGUUUGGACACCUAGUUAUAAAUAGUCUAAAUAAUAGAGUUCCUAUGAUCAUAAGGGACUAAGGAUGAGCUAAAGUCACAUAGCCAAGGAGGAGCCUUUUAAAAAGGUGCCCUAGAGAGAGGGACAAGGGAGAACCAAACAGAACCAAACAUUGCUUGUUUCAUAACACCUUCCCUCCUCAUAAAGGACAUCAUGACACUCCCAUGGCCUGUGGAGGCAUGCUCACUAAGGUCCCUGUGAUCAUAUGGAUCCAAGAACAUAAAGUUGGAACCCUAAUUUUCCUAAUGAAUGAUUUGUUGAGUUUAAAUGAAGAGCUUAAGUGCAUAGAUGUUUUUGAAUUGGAUGUUGAAUGGGAAGAUUUAAGAAGGAGACUUAGGACCUGAACAUUGAACAGUUGGUCCUUUAAAGAUCAUGUAAUGCUUUUUUCUUUAGGAAUUCUGCUAAGGAACAUAUCUUGCUUUUCUUUACACUUUUGUUCAUCCGUUCUGAAUUUGUAUUCUCCAUGUGACCAAUGUAUAAUCUUGAUCCAUGUUGUUUUCAUUAUAAUGGAAUCAGUUGGAAUUUAAAUAGCAAUCCUGCAUCACCUGCAUAUAGCUAGGUUUUCCUGUACUCUGUUGUUGCUUGUGGCAUGUAUGUUCAAAUGUAGUUGUUUUCUUUUUUUCUCUGAAUAUUGCACAUCUUACAUGAGUUCAUGUGAACUUAGAAAAAUCUAGAUUUGCCUAUGUUUGAUAUUUGUCUGUGUCAUGCUUACUUGUCUCAUCUACAACUGUUUUUCUUGAUAAUAUGCCUUGCCCUGAUUCUGACCAUUUAGACUCAGAAAAACCUUGACUUUUUCCUGUACUUCAUCCUGCUUAUAUUAUGUUGAAUGCCUAAAUUGUAAUUGCCUCUUUUUCCUGCACAUUUACACAACCUUACAUCAUCUGCAUAUACUUGGACUUACUUGUAUCCUGCUUUGUAUAUAACAUGUAUAUUCAAAGUAGUGGCUUCUCCCUUUGAAUAUUGUACAUCCUGUAUGAAACUUCCUAGACUAAGAUACCAUGCUCUUGCUUACAUUUGAGUGUACUUGUAUCAUGACUAUGUGUUUCGAUGCUUCUGUCUCAUACCACAUCUAUGUGCCUCAAUUUUGGUUUGUCCACCCCAUGCUUGUGUGUUUCAACUGUAAUUGUUGUUCUUCACCUUAAGGUACUACAUAUUUAUCUAUGUCAUGAAACUGUUAAGUGAAUGCUGCUCUAUCAUUCUUUUAUGUGUGUUGUUGUAUAUGGUUGAGGUAUUAAAGUAAGUUUGGGGUUUUGGUUUAGCCUUCCCCCGAUGCCUGCCAUGCCUAAGGUUCAAGAAACCUUUUUUGAUCUUGUGCGACAUUGGGAAUAAGGAUGGUGAUAACCACCCUGGGCUGUCUAAAUCUCUACCAAUAAGGCUCAAUAGAAUCUAUGUACAAAUACUUUGGUGAUGCUACUUGUGAAUGAAUUCGAUGCAUGUGUAUGUAUAUAUUUAUACGUAUGAUAAGUUCAGUAAAUAUAAACUAACCGGGUCCCUCUUUUCCUCUUUCUCACUGCAUGGCCACUCGGUCCGAGGCCCAGCCACCCUAUUUGGCCCAAUAGGAAAAUUCUUUCAAAAGAUUUAUUGAGUCCGAGAAAAGAAAAACGGAAGCUAAUAUACAUCGAAGGCCUAAUCAUGGGUGAAAAUGACAUGAAGGCCAACAAUGGGUGAAAAUGGUUAAUUAGGCGGUUUGGUACACCCCUAGUCUAAUCCAUCCUCCAUCAUUUAUAUUAUUUCAGUUUGAUAUUGUAUUGGAUUUUUUAUUUGUAAAAACUCACAUUAUUAUUGGAAAUAAUUAUGGUUGGAACUAGA
Long non-coding RNA from Lycium ferocissimum, 3972 nucleotides. RefSeq lists it as uncharacterized. Lineage: Eukaryota; Viridiplantae; Streptophyta; Magnoliopsida; Solanales; Solanaceae. The transcript has 2 exons. The record is from RefSeq and is a predicted model, not a curated record.